RNAcentral lists this long non-coding RNA (893 nucleotides) under Homo sapiens (human). RNAcentral's name for it is "HSALNT0078943". Lineage: Eukaryota; Metazoa; Chordata; Mammalia; Primates; Hominidae. The record is from RNAcentral.
CGCAGUUGAUCAUUCUCUGCUCCUUAGAACAACAGGAAAGUGAACCUUGUUAAAUGCCACUCGGAUCAGGCCACUCCUCUGUUGAAAACCCUCCCUUGAUAAAUAGUAUAAAGUAUCCCAUACAAGAGAACAUUAUUCAGCCAUAAAAAGGAAUGAAGUACUGAUACUGAUGCAUGCUACAUGGAUAACCUUUCAAAACGUGAAGGGAAAGAAGACAGACCACACAUUGUAUUCUUCCACAUAUGUGAAAUGUUAUGGGGUGACAAAAUUGUUCUAAAACUAGUUUCUGGUGAUGGUUGCACAACUCUGUGCAUAUACCAAAAGCCAUUAAAUUGCACACUUUAAAUGGGUCAAUCAUUUGGUAUGUGAAUUUUACCUCAAGCUAUUAAAAAAAAAGCAUGACAAUGAAAUGCAGUAUAUGACCUUGAUUGGAUCCUGAAUGGGGAGGAGGAGCUAUAAACUGUCAUUUUAAAGUCGUUAAUUUUUAAAAAAAUCAAAAAUGGCAUUUAUUUAAUUUUGAGACGGAGUCUCGCUCGGUCGCCCAGGCUGGAGUGCAAUGGCACGAUCUCGGCUUACUGCAACCUCUGCCUCCCGGGUUCAAGCAAUUCUCUUGCCUCAACCUCUCGAGUAGCUGGGACUACAGAUACACACCACCACGCCCAUCUAAGUAGAGACGGGGUUUCACCAUUUUGGCCAGGCUGGUCUCAAACUCCUGGCCUCAAGUGAUCCACCCGUCUCAGCCUCUCAAAGUUCUGGGAUUACAGGCAUGACCCACCGCGCCCAGCCUAGAUGGCCUUUCUUAGUGCAGUCCUAGUAGUCUUAAAUGAUAACUAUUAAUAUUAUUAUGUAUGCAAUAAAAUUUGAUUUUGCCCAUUGUGCAAAUUAUUUCCUUA